Molecule: long non-coding RNA, 3073 nt
Organism: Gossypium arboreum
Lineage: Eukaryota; Viridiplantae; Streptophyta; Magnoliopsida; Malvales; Malvaceae
Exons: 2
Source: RefSeq, a predicted model, not a curated record
UGAUAUUCGAUGAUGAUAUAAUUUCUUACUAUUUUUAUCAUAAUGCAGAUUUUUUUUGUUAUAUUUUAAUGGGGAGCUGUAGCAAAGAACUACCCUUUUUUUUCUUCUCUGUGACAAAGGAAAGCUUCCAGGAGACUUUCAAUUCAUGGAAAACUGACCAUUUUUAUUACAAAUACAACAAACGACAAGGAAACAAGGCAUAGAAGGAAGCGAACCAGAAACAAUGGCCACUCAAUCCUUUCUUUCCAGGUUCUCUCUUUGCUAAACAAAGGAUUCUUGCAACCAAAACAGAGGAGAAUCAGUCAAAUAGAUAGUGUCAAGCAGGCGGCGCAGUGGUGAAUCAGUAUAAAUCAAUGCUGUUGGAUCUGUGGUCAGUGAUGUUGAUUCUGCGCAAUGAUUGGCCCUCAACUAAUUGAACUGUGGUAUGUCCUUAUGAUCCUUUUGCUUCUUCUGUAGAUUGUAGAACUCGUGAAUUGCUGCCACACACUUGUAAUGUCAUUGAUCGAGCAAAUGUAGAUAAACAGUAAGUGUGCCAUCGAUUCUGGCUUUCUAUUUGGUAAGCGAUCAAGAGACAACCCAUGUUUUUGAUCAAUUGAGAGCAUAAUGACUUUCUAUUUGGUUUUUCAUGCUCGGUUUGUGCUGGACUUCUAAAAAUCAUGAAUAGGCUAAUUGCCCCAAAUCCAGAUACAUGGCUUAAAAGCUCAAAAGAAUCUAAGGUUGAGACAUGCCUUCAAGCUUUUGUGGUCAAAUUUUGUUAUAGUACAAGGAGAACAAUUAGGUUUCGUUUGGCUGGUUAGUGUAAUAACGUUAAGAAAAGUUUAUUCAACUCAUAAGUACUAAAAUAGUUGUAAUGACAUCAGUACUAAAAUAGUUCACUGUUUGAUAGAGAAAAAUGUUGAACAAGUGUAUGAAAUAUCACUUUUAUCCUUAAUGAAGGGAAAAAACCUAAUAACUUAAUUUUUUUCCCGACUUGAUAAAAAUUUAAAUUGUACUUCUAUAAAUAGUCUUAAUUUUUAUUUUUCAGAAAUGAUAUACCAAAUAUAUUAUUUUUAUAAAACUACAUGCUAAAGUUUUAUAAUUUUUUAUGUGCCUAUGAAAAAUUUUUAAUUCAAAGAAUAUUGUUAAAUGAUUUUAUAAAAUAUUUAUAAAAUAAAAUUCAAACAAAAUUUGGCAUGUAAUUUUAUAGGAAUAAUAUAUUUGGAAAAAAUUGAAAGUUAUUGUUACUUCUUUUAAAUACUUUAUAAAAUUUUUAAAUUAUAUAAUUUUUAAAAAAAUUAAAGAAGAAAAAACAUAUUAGUUGAAAAUAAUGCUAGGAGUAAAGAGGGAAAACAUAUAAUUGUAGUUUUAUUUUUUGGAGGAAGAACAAUCUUGGAAACAUAAAAAUUAGAGGGAGGAAAAUUUUUUGUAUUAGAAUUUACCAUUUCAAUAAGUUAAGGAAAAACAUAAAAUUCCCGAGUUAAGGAAAAAAGUCCUAAGUGGUGUGAUAAGUAGUUGGUUCAAACAAGUGGAUAUCAUUAACUAGCAUACUUAAAAGGUGUAUUACAAUGUUACUACUCCUCCAAACGAGGGCUUUUAAUUGUUCGGGUUUCUAGUUUCCUUCGUUAGUUUUUUUUUUUUUUUUUUUCUCCUUCUUCUAAUUUCUCACUUUUACAUAACUUUUAGGAGCUAGAGCUGCCUGUUUUGACUAGCCAUGUACCAAAUACUGCUAAUUUAUGUUGUUUGACUCUUCAUUUUGCUUGAAGUACUUGUUUCUGACUUAUAUCUGAACAUAGGUAUGGAGAUAAGACCCUGCAAUGACCUGUAUAUACAUGUUGCUCCAGCCCUUCAUUUUGCUUCGAGUUCAUGUUUCCAACUUAUAUUUGAACUCAGAUAUGGAGAUAAAUCCUUCAAUGACCCACAAACUAUGGUACUUCAACUUUCAGCUUUCUUAAAGUAUCUGUUUCCGACUUAUAUUCAGACAUGGAUAAGGAGAAAAGACCCUCUAAUGACCCUUCAAAUACAUUGAAAAGCUUAGAAAAAAUUGAACAUACUCAUGUAGGAAAACAACCCAAUUCCAACACUUACACCUGAGUCCAAGUAACGCAACUGCCAACAUCAUGCAUUCAAUGUAUCUAAUUUCAAUUAAACUCUUAAUGUUAAAAACAUUAAAAGAGACAAAGAGCUAAAGACUAGAAAUAAAAUUGCUCAUGAUAUUUUAAUUCUAUCAUUUGAUUUACUAGUGCCAAAAGCUAGCUGAUGAUUUCUCUUUGGAAAUUUAUGUUCACUGGAAACUAUUAGCAAAUUUGUCCCCUGUUCCUGCUUGCCACAAACAAGCACUUGAGCCAACUACUUUGGCUCUCUUUUUUGAUCUUUGUAACCAUUAUUUGCUGAGCAUCUCAUGAAUCAAAAUUGGUUGUGCAGUCAGUUUCAUUGCCGUUCAUCUCAAUGGACCCGCUUCUUUUUUCACUUUCAGUCGGAUGAUAAUAUUUUGAUUACUAAUGAUAUUCUUUUGUCAUGUCUAAUCUGGAGCCAGUUGCAUUAGCAACAAUAUAGGGUAAGUUCUGAUAUCAAGCUCAGGGCCUGCCAAGCGAGGGUAUGACCUAGUUGGUAAGGCAAUGGGAAAUUAUGUUAGUCAGACUGGGUAUAAGUGCUAGAUACAUGUAUGUUUUUUCAUAUAUUUGGAGGGUCAUAUCCCUAUACCCAUAUUAUGAUGUUAAGCUCAAGUAGUUAAAAAGAAAAAUGAAAGAGUCAUAGUAAUUGUGGAACUAAUGCAUUUCAAUCCUUAUUUUAGUUAAGAAAGUAAAAACAAAAAAUCCCAGCAGUGUUGUUUGAUGUGAGAUGACUUCAAUCCUGGCGAGGAGUUGUUUGUUAUUGAAGUGAAUGUGAGACAUCAUUGUUUUGUUGGUGAUAGAUUUAAUAUAAUUUCAGUAGUUGAAAUAUGCUAAUUUAUUGCUCAACUUGUUUGUAGUAGUCUGUUGGGCAUUUGUAUUUCAAGGAUUCUUCAAAUAUAGAUGAAAGCACAUAUAUGUAUCCGAUAUAUAGAAGUGAGUUGGGAGUAGCAUCGUCAAGUUUACUUGUUGCACCCAAAAGGAAA